CUGCCUACUUUGACAGCACAUAGACUAGAAUCAGAACAAUACAGAGAAGAUUAACAUAGCCCCUGAGCAAGGAUGACAUGCAAAUUCACAAAGUGUUGCAUAUUUUU
This 107-nucleotide small nuclear RNA is filed under the name Canis lupus familiaris (dog). The record is from RNAcentral. RNAcentral also lists the same sequence under 2 other names. Lineage: Eukaryota; Metazoa; Chordata; Mammalia; Carnivora; Canidae.